UACGUAGGGUGCAAGCGUUAUCCGGAAUCACUGGGCUUAAAGCGUGUGUAGGCGGAUCGUUAAGUGCCUUGUGAAAUCCCACGGCUCAACCGUGGAACUGCUUGGCAUACUGGCGGUCUUGAGCAACCUAGGGGCGAGCGGAACAAAUGGUGGAGCGGUGAAAUGCGUAGAUAUCAUUUGGAACGCCAAUGGUGAAAACAGCUCGCUGGGGGUUUGCUGACGCUGAGACACGAAAGCCAGGGGAGCAAACGGG
RNAcentral lists this ribosomal RNA (253 nucleotides) under uncultured bacterium. Its description in RNAcentral is "partial 16S ribosomal RNA". It matches the Rfam family "Bacterial small subunit ribosomal RNA", at positions 524 to 776 of the family's 1533-position model. The record is from RNAcentral.